RNAcentral lists this ribosomal RNA (519 nucleotides) under uncultured eukaryote. RNAcentral's name for it is "SSU rRNA". It matches the Rfam family "Eukaryotic small subunit ribosomal RNA", at positions 1161 to 1704 of the family's 1831-position model. The record is from RNAcentral.
AGGGCACCACCAGGAGUGGAGCCUGCGGCUUAAUUUGACUCAACACGGGGAAACUCACCCGGCCCGGACACCGUAAGGAUUGACAGAUUGAUAGCUUUUUCAUGAUUCGGUGGAUGGUGGUGCAUGGCCGUUCUUAGUUCGUGGAGCGAUUUGUCUGGUUUAUUCCGAUAACGAGCGAGACUCUAGCCUACUAGAUAGUUCGCACAUUGUCUCUGUGUGUGUGACUUCUUAGAGGGAUUUUCGGUGUUCAGCCGCACGAAAUUGAGCAAUUUUUUUGUCUGUGAUGCCCUUAGACGUCCGGGGCUGCACGCGCGCUACACUGGCAAAAUCAGCGUGCUUGUCCUUCCCCGAAAGGGGUUGGUAAACCCUUGAAAAUUUGCCGUGAUUGGGAUUGGAAAUUGCAAUUAUUUUCCAUGAACGAGGAAUUCCAAGUAAGUGCGAGUCAUCAGCUCGCGUUGAUUACGUCCCUGCCCUUUGUACACACCGCCCGUCGCUGCCCGGGACUGAGCCAUUUCGAGA